This 83-nucleotide transfer RNA is filed under the name Perca flavescens (yellow perch). It matches the Rfam family "tRNA". Rfam says of the family: Transfer RNA (tRNA) molecules are approximately 80 nucleotides in length. Their secondary structure includes four short double-helical elements and three loops (D, anti-codon, and T loops). Lineage: Eukaryota; Metazoa; Chordata; Actinopteri; Perciformes; Percidae. The record is from Rfam by way of RNAcentral.
ACCAGGAUGGCUGAGUGGUUAAGGCGUUGGACUUAAGAUCCAAUGGGCAAAAGCCCUCAUAGGUUCGAACCCCUCUCCUGGUA